This 353-nucleotide ribosomal RNA is filed under the name Babesia vogeli. RNAcentral describes it as "SSU rRNA". It matches the Rfam family "Eukaryotic small subunit ribosomal RNA", at positions 465 to 873 of the family's 1831-position model. Lineage: Eukaryota; Apicomplexa; Aconoidasida; Piroplasmida; Babesiidae. The record is from RNAcentral.
UAGUGACAAGAAAUAACAAUACAGGGCUAAUGUCUUGUAAUUGGAAUGAUGGUGACCCAAACCCUCACCAGAGUAGCAAUUGGAGGGCAAGUCUGGUGCCAGCAGCCGCGGUAAUUCCAGCUCCAAUAGCGUAUAUUAAACUUGUUGCAGUUAAAAAGCUCGUAGUUGAAUUUUAGCGUGUUCGAGUUUGCCAUUCGUUUGGCUUUUUCGAGUUCGCUUUUGGGUUUUCCCUUUUUACUUUGAGAAAAUUAGAGUGUUUCAAGCAGACUUUUGUCUUGAAUACUUCAGCAUGGAAUAAUAGAGUAGGACUUUGGUUCUAUUUUGUUGGUUAUUGAACCUUAGUAAUGGUUAAU